AGAGUUUGAUUCUGGCUCAGGAUGAACGCUAGCUACAGGCUUAACACAUGCAAGUCGAGGGGCAGCAUUGGAGUAGCAAUACUUCAGAUGGCGACCGGCGCACGGGUGAGUAACACGUAUCCAACCUGCCGCUUACUCGGGGAUAGCCUUUCGAAAGAAAGAUUAAUACCCGAUGGUAUAAAGAGUUCGCAUGUUCUCUUUAUUAAAGAAUUUCGGUAAGCGAUGGGGAUGCGUUCCAUUAGAUAGUUGGCGGGGUAACGGCCCACCAAGUCUACGAUGGAUAGGGGUUCUGAGAGGAAGGUCCCCCACAUUGGAACUGAGACACGGUCCAAACUCCUACGGGAGGCAGCAGUGAGGAAUAUUGGUCAAUGGACGAGAGUCUGAACCAGCCAAAGUAGCGUGAAGGAUGACUGCCCUAUGGGUUGUAAACUUCUUUUAUAAGGGAAUAAAGUGAGGGACGUGUCCCUUUUUGUAUGUACCUUAUGAAUAAGGAUCGGCUAACUCCGUGCCAGCCGCGGC
This 519-nucleotide ribosomal RNA is filed under the name uncultured bacterium. RNAcentral describes it as "bacterial SSU rRNA". It matches the Rfam family "Bacterial small subunit ribosomal RNA", at positions 8 to 518 of the family's 1533-position model. The record is from RNAcentral.